UACAGAGGGGGCAAGCGUUGUUCGGAAUUACUGGGCGUAAAGGGCGCGUAGGCGGCCUGUUAAGUCGAACGUGAAAUCCCCGGGCUCAACCCGGGAACUGCGUCCGAUACUGGUAGGCUUGAAUUCGGGAGAGGGAUGCGGAAUUCCAGGUGUAGCGGUGAAAUGCGUAGAUAUCUGGAGGAACACCGGUGGCGAAGGCGGCAUCCUGGACCGACAUUGACGCUGAGGCGCGAAAGCCAGGGGAGCAAACGGG
This 253-nucleotide ribosomal RNA is filed under the name uncultured bacterium. RNAcentral's name for it is "partial 16S ribosomal RNA". It matches the Rfam family "Bacterial small subunit ribosomal RNA", at positions 524 to 776 of the family's 1533-position model. The record is from RNAcentral.